AACGUAACAAGGUUUCCGUAGGUGAACCUGCGGAAGGAUCAUUGUCGAAUCCUGCAAAGCAAACGAC
Molecule: ribosomal RNA, 67 nt
Filed under: Rauvolfia densiflora
Lineage: Eukaryota; Viridiplantae; Streptophyta; Magnoliopsida; Gentianales; Apocynaceae
Description: partial 18S ribosomal RNA
Rfam family: Eukaryotic small subunit ribosomal RNA (bases 1-44)
Source: RNAcentral